Cygnus olor (mute swan) is the source of this 829-nucleotide long non-coding RNA. RefSeq lists it as uncharacterized. The transcript is spliced from 3 exons. The record is from RefSeq and is a predicted model, not a curated record. Lineage: Eukaryota; Metazoa; Chordata; Aves; Anseriformes; Anatidae.
GCUUUCUGGUUCAUACCACCAAAAGCCAGCUUAAACCAGAGAUGAAUCUACUACAUGAUAUAACAAACGGCUGUUGCUCUUAUUUGCCCUGUAUGUUCUUAUCUCAGUUCACAAUUAAUCACCACCCUGGAAAUCAAACACUAAAGUAUUUGUACAUUCUCUUUUAAAAUACAUUUCAAUUUCCUUUUAGUUGAACUGCCCUGUCCUUCGCCACACCUGCUCUAUGCAUCAUUCUGCACAGCACACUCUGUACAUACCUGAGGAGUCUGAUGACUCAUGCUAGACAGGGAACAUAAUCACCAUAGAAAGAAUACAAGUUCAAAAACUGUGAUGCAAUUGAAGUAUAGAGGGAUGUCUGUUCAUUAGCAAAUAAUCACAUUUGCAUAUUGAUGAUACAUUACAUCAUGUCUGAGGACUAGAUCCUGUGCUCGGUAACAUGAAAUCCUCUUCAGUAUGUGACCAAACAAGUAACAUGAGUAACAAAUUUGUACUAAGCACUAAAGGCCUGUGCUGGAAAACUGUAAAACCAAUCCUAAGUAUUUGCUCAAGACUGCACCUACAGCUCCAAACACUUGGAUUCAUUACCUUUCCGCUACCUUGUGCCAUGCAGCAGUUACAGGACCCUGCCUGUGAGGACCCGUCCAGAAGCAAAGCUGCACCACUGUAGAUGACAAUCAUUACCUCCGUAUUCUCUCAUCCUCCCAUAUAAAGCUUCAACCUGAUUCUGAGGAAGGAAGGUGAAUCAGAGAAGUGCAGUUCAUACAGCUGUGGAGGUAGCAAUCCAAGACCAAAUGAGCCUUAAAGUACAAGCUACUUCAAAAAUAUUUUA